UAAAUGUGGAGCAGAACCCACUAUAAAAAACGAGGCGGAACCUGAAAAGCCUUAUGAGUAAGGAAAAUA
Non-coding RNA from Flavobacterium johnsoniae, 69 nucleotides. Lineage: Bacteria; Pseudomonadati; Bacteroidota; Flavobacteriia; Flavobacteriales; Flavobacteriaceae. The record is from Rfam.